UGUAUAUAGUUAUUUUAUAAUAGUAUAUUGUCUAGCGGUUACAUUUAAUUUAAAUUGCCUGCGUUGUUGUCUUGGCAGAGUUACUGUUUUAUCAGUAGUAGCGACACUUUUUAAUUUUUGUGUAAUUAUUGCGUGCAGAUGGAGUUCUUGUUUUGCGCGCGACGAUUUAAAGUUAGUCGUCUGGCGGCGUAUUAAAUCUUGUUAUAUUCCCGCUCUUUUAUAUUUUUGCUGAGCAAGGGUUUAACUCGUGGCAAGGUGUUAAGUUUCGGCGUAAGGAGAAAUAGCGAAGAAGGAGCAUUAAUAAGGAGUGAAUAGUUAGUAUUGUUAUGGCAGUCAUCAUGUAUGUAACUAAGAGGAAUUAUGAAAACUAUGGAACUUGGUUCCAAUACGCGACCGCUGUAUAUGGUGAGCGGGACUUAAGGCGGGGAGUUCAGUUAUUACGGGAACUUCAGGGACCGCUCACUCCGAACGAGGCCUUGGCAUUAGUAAGCGAAUGGAUGAGCAUCUUCGGACCUGCUGGUCCAGAAGUGUCCAAGAUCGCUACCUACUUCUUUCGAUUGGGGUUGGAGUAUCCCGAAGUUGAAUGGCGAUUUAUUGCUCCGCAUUACUUUGAGGUGCAACGAUUGCGUGUAGCACUGAUGGAGUUUAUUUUAAACGGGAUGUGUUCGUAGCAGUUGUCAAAUUUCGCUGACCAACUCCCAUUUUCAAGGCCUCUUCGACAGCUUGACGGGUGGGGAACCAAGUUCCGAGUAAUGCUGGGAAGGGAUCGGUUAGGAUAACGCUGCUAAAAAAAAAGAAUAUAUAGUAAAGAAAUUGAAAAUGGAGAGAAAAAAAAAUUUUCAAUAAAUCGGCAACCAA
Molecule: long non-coding RNA, 858 nt
Filed under: Cotesia glomerata
Lineage: Eukaryota; Metazoa; Arthropoda; Insecta; Hymenoptera; Braconidae
Description: uncharacterized LOC123271351
Source: RNAcentral